CUCUCUCACUCUCUGAAGCAAAACCCUAAUCUUCUGUUCGCUAAUUCAGCAUUCAGUAAACAAUGGGCUCCGAAGGAUCAAGGGUUGUUGUGCCUAGGAAUUUCAGAUUACUGGAAGAGCUUGAGAGAGGGGAGAAGGGGAUUGGAGAUGGAACUGUCAGUUAUGGAAUGGAUGAUGCUGAUGAUAUUUACAUGCAAUCAUGGACAGGAACGAUAAUUGGACCCCCAAAUACUGUUCAUGAAGGUCGUAUCUACCAGUUGAAAUUGUUUUGUGGAAAGGA
This 280-nucleotide unclassified non-coding RNA is filed under the name Hevea brasiliensis (rubber tree). The record is from RNAcentral. Lineage: Eukaryota; Viridiplantae; Streptophyta; Magnoliopsida; Malpighiales; Euphorbiaceae.